UUGGAGGGCAAGUCUGGUGCCAGCAGCCGCGGUAAUUCCAGCUCCAAUAGCGUAUAUUAAAGUUGUUGCAGUUAAAAAGCUCGUAGUUGAAUUUCGGGAUCAAUGUUUCGGUCAUGCCGUUGGUAUGUACUGAUAUUAUUGAUUUCUCACCUUCUAAAGAACCGUAAUGCCAUUAAUUUGGUGUCACGGGGAAUUAGGACUGUUACCUUGAAAAAAUUAGAGUGUUUAAAGCAGGCUCACGCUUGAAUACAUUGGCAUGGAAUAAUGAAAUAGGACAUCCGAUUCUAUUUUGUUGGUUUCUAGGAUCGAUGUAAUGAUUAAUAGGGAUAGUUGGGGGCAUUAGUAUUCAAUUGUCAGAGGUGAAAUUCUUGGAUUUAUUGAAGACUAACUACUGCGAAAGCAUUUGCCAAGGAUGUUUUCAUUAAUCAAGAACGAAAGUUAGGGGAUCGAAGACGAUCAGAUACCGUCGUAGUCUUAACCAUAAACUGUGCCGACUAGGGAUCGGAUGAUGUUAAUUUUUUAAUGACUCAUACGGCGCCUUACGGGAAACCAAAGUGUUUGGGUUC
Molecule: ribosomal RNA, 566 nt
Filed under: uncultured Glomeromycotina
Lineage: Eukaryota; Fungi; Glomeromycota
Description: SSU rRNA
Rfam family: Eukaryotic small subunit ribosomal RNA
Source: RNAcentral